This 351-nucleotide ribosomal RNA is filed under the name uncultured Enterococcus sp. Its description in RNAcentral is "bacterial SSU rRNA". It matches the Rfam family "Bacterial small subunit ribosomal RNA", at positions 505 to 858 of the family's 1533-position model. The record is from RNAcentral. Lineage: Bacteria; Bacillati; Bacillota; Bacilli; Lactobacillales; Enterococcaceae.
GUGCCAGCCGCAGCGGUAAUACGUAGGUGGCAAGCGUUGUCCGGAUUUAUUGGGCGUAAAGCGAGCGCAGGCGGUUUCUUAAGUCUGAUGUGAAAGCCCCCGGCUCAACCGGGGAGGGUCAUUGGGAAACUGGGAGACUUGAGUGCAGAAGAGGAGAGUGGAAUUCCAUGUGUAGCGGUGAAAUGCGUAGAUAUAUGGAGGAACACCAGUGGCGAAGGCGGCUCUCUGGUCUGUAACUGACGCUGAGCUCGAAAGCGUGGGAGCGAACAGGAUUAGAUACCCUGGUAGUCCACGCCGUAAACGAUGAGUGCUAAGUGUUGAGGUUUCCGCCUUCAGUGCUGCAGCAAACGC